Triticum aestivum (bread wheat) is the source of this 4019-nucleotide long non-coding RNA. RefSeq lists it as uncharacterized. Lineage: Eukaryota; Viridiplantae; Streptophyta; Magnoliopsida; Poales; Poaceae. The record is from RefSeq and is a predicted model, not a curated record. The transcript is spliced from 4 exons.
GUUCCAAUCUCCCCAGACGACCUCGUCGCCAUUCCCCUCCCUCCCGAGAGAAAUCCCCUCACUCUUCCUGUCGCCUCCGCGUGCCAUGGACGACACAUCGUCUCGCCGGCCGCCGUCACCUGAACCCAACCAGCCCUCCGCUCCCGCCCAGAUUCGACCACUAUUCUCAAUUCGCCACGGCAUGCCUCGCGUGGCCAAUCCAUGUCUCCCACCAGCGAUCAGUAGGUGUGCGGCCCCGCCGCCGCUGGCUCUCGUGGUUGCGACGUAUCCUCCCCGGCUCCCUCCUCCUCCUCCUCACCCAAGCCGCACCUCCGUCCACGCGAUGCCGGCCGACGGCUCCCACUUCGACUCCUGAUUAUAGUUGCUGCCUUUUGCAAUGUAUGUGCAAUUCUGAUUGUUUAGUGUGUGCUCUCAGUUCAUCGCCCGCCUCAGCAAUGAGGAUACCUUCGUUCAGCUGAUCGAGGGAGGAUGUUCCGUUCUUGAGUCUAAUUUUUCCUUCCUAUGGGCAAUUUCUUCAAUCGAGGGAGGAUGAAGCCAGAGUGGUGGCAGUUAGAGACCAUCGUUUCCUGUGCUCUGCAGUUUAAAUGAUUUCAGGAAGACUUCAUUUGAUGCCUCGAACUGAAUAUGUUUUUAAUUGGACGGAUGGAUAUUGAAUAAUUGCAUCAUAUUUGGAGGUAGCGAUGUCGUAUGUUUUGGGGUCCAGGUAAUAAUUUAGCUUACUUACCAGAUUACAUUACUUUCAAAAGAUAGCCAUCACGAUAGGAAAUCCCAUCUGUAUUUAUGGAGCUAGCAGAACAUAGUACAUCCAACAUGUCUAGCUCUGAGUCCUUGUCCUCUCAUCCAUGUGGUGUAUGCUUUUAUCCUAAAGUUUCCAUCAACUUUGUUUGUUUAUUUAGAUCAAGUUAGGGUUGUAUAUACAUCUAGAUUUAUAUCACAACAAUGCCCUAUAGGGAGGGAAUUAGCUGCGCAAGGGAAGAAACCUCAAAGGUAAUCUUAAUUCUGGAAUAUUAGGACCAUGAUGGCUGCAUGCGAGCUGCGUCUUGACGAGUAUGAUUUUUCAUUUUUCAUGGUGUUUGCAGAUUUUACUGAAUGUCACGCAGAUUGGUUUGGUACAUGAAAACCUUAAUCACACUCCUUUUAGGACAAAAGUAUAUACAUACUACAUGGUUUUGAUAAAGUAUAUGCCUCUUCCUCUGUGUAGUAUGCCCCAAAUUUCCAUUCUUCAUGUAUAUUGCAGCUUAAAUAAUAUUUAGGUUCUCUCAAAAGUUAUGUACUCCACAUACUUCUCUCUACUACUCCCUCCGUUCCGAAUUACUUGUCUUAGAUUUGUCUAGAUACGGAGGUAUCUAGCACUAAAAUGAGUCUAGAUACAUUCGUAUCUAGACAAAUUCAAGACAAGUAAUUUGGAACAGAGGGAGUAGGUUGGAAAUCUGUUGUGCAUAGCAGGAGAACGAAAUGUCUUUUUAAUUAAUUUUCCUUCAAAAACAUAUGAUAUAGUUAGGAAUAUGUUAGAAUAUUCCAAUAACAUAGAAGAUGUGUACCCCUGCCUUUUCCCUAAACAAAUCACAUGCUCUAUUUGAGUUGGAAACAUCUGUAUAUUCUUUUCUUCAAGUAGAGCCAGGAAUACAUUUUUUAUCAAUAUAUUUUUUAUUAGUACUAAAACUGAGUUUUGAAGAAGAAGAUGGGGAGCUAUUAGCUUAUAUCUGAUGAUGCAAAGUCCAAUUGGUGGCUGGCCCUUCUGUGUCUUAUUAGUCGUUGGAUGUUAGUUCUUAAUUUUCCCCCCUUGAACUAAUGAUUCAUGAAAUGGACGAUGUAGACAAUAUCAUGACUGGUUGGGCGAGGACACAGCCUAGCAACACUAAGGAGAGACUGCCUGCUUCUGCGCUAAGUCGCUGCUGGUCAAGACCUCCGGGCAUGGAUCAAGCAUAAUCCAUGGUUGAUUCUGGUGGUAAAGUUGUGCUCUUCACAUCGUUGUUUAUCAAGUUGGAUACCUCCUCCUACCGUUUUUUCUGUCCAUCGCUUCCCCGCAUGAUUUUUCUGGUUUUCUACUUCUCUUGGUUGACCAUCUCCCCACGUCUUUCCUCCCCCGGGUUUUCUUAUUCAAUUUUCUUCCCUACCGAACCGGUCUGCCUUACACCCCACGAACGAUCGUGCCCAGGCCAUCUAUCCCAUCGCCACGAUUGACGCAUGCCACCGCCGCCGCAACAACCACCCCUCCGAUCUGAAGUGCAGUGCCUCCCUUGUUGCCGCUGCCUCGACGUUCUGCACUUCCUACACCGCCGCAGGUCAUUGCCUGCAGUUCGCCGUCUACUUUUCCCACGAACGCCGGCGAUGGGAAGGAGGAGGAGGUGGGUGAGGAGACGAGGGCAAGCGCAAGAGUUGCAUCGUUUAAGGAACGUGGUACAGGUCAAGAGCCGCUAACAUCGGCGUGGGCGUCGGCCGUAGGUAAGCACUCUUUCCUCUCGCCUAUCUCAUCUCCCUCUCUCGCAGUGACCUUCCUUGUCUCCUCUCUGUCCGCGUCGUGGCAGUAGGGCGCGUGCUGGCCGCCUACGAGUUUAGUAGGGGCUCACGGGAUGGGUAAGGGCAGGCUUGGCAAGGGCUGUUCAUCAGUUCAUGUGUCGCCGAACAUACUGCAAGCGUGUGUGUCAGGCCAGACUUGGAACAGGCAAUGGUGCUUAGGCGAAUGUUGGAAGUGUGGCCGUAGGUACUUCAUAAGUAGCAGGUAGAGAUGCACAGGCAACGGUGGGUAAGGGCGCCAAUGUUCAGGCAGAGGAGAAUAUGAAAGAUGAAGCCACUGGGCCACAUCAGGCAUGUAUAGCCGAUCCAUGGCCAUGCAUAUUUAUGUCGGAAUGGUUCGGCUUGAGCAAUUUGGUACAGUAUAUUUGGAGGGGUUCUUGCCUUAUCUGGAUCUUUUGUUUGAGACGACUGAUUUUGGUUGUUCUCGGCCUUAUAGGUCUACGAUUUUUUUAGUUUCAGUGACGAGUUAAAGCGACAGCGAGGCAUGCUGGUACUAUAAGCUUUAUACCUCUCUUUGUAGACAAGAGCUGACAACUGAUCAACAAACUGAAGGGAAGACUUUAAAACAGAAGGGUGGAGGGAGCCUAUAUGAUUUUACAUGCAUCUUGAUAUGGUAUCAUGUAUACAUGAGAUUCGUCAGUUUUCAUAUGUACAAUUACCUUGUCUACUCUGAGCCUCGUGAGCUCACAACAGUGGAGGGGAGGAGAUGCAAAAGGAGGAUGUUGAGGAGCGAGGCAAAUUAAAAACAAAGGACAGAGAAUCCCUCUUCAUUUGGUGGAUCCUAUGGGUGUGUUCUAGCCACGUCGGCUAGAAUGUGGAUGGAGCACUCAUUGUACUAGCAUGAAUCAGGUAAUUUUCAUAUCACCAUCAUAUCAUUAUACUACAUAUUUCCAGUAUAUUGCUGCAUUAAGGCGUUACUAAAUCUUUGCCAAACGACAUUGGAAAAAAACUUGAAGUUUGAGAAAUAAGAUCUACAUGUAGUGAUAAUAGGAUGGGGAUAUUUAGAAUGUGAUGAAAAACUGCUACAGAGAGAUGUGGGGUGAAGCGGCGAAGAUGAGAGGUUCAGAGACAAUAUGAUGUGCGGACGGGAAUGACAUUGCAUUAUUUAAGCUGACAUGAGCAUGCACUUCUAAAAAUAAGUUGUUUGAUUAUAUAUUUUAUUGCUCCGUGGCAACGCACGGGCAUGCAGCUAGUUAUAGAUAAAGUUAGAGGGACCGUGGUGGGCAUGGAAUCCUCUUCGGUGUAGUGGUCAGCGCGUACUUCCUCAAAUAGCUGGUCGUAGGUUCUACUCUACUUGAGCAGAUUUUUCUAUUUUCAUUUUUUCUUCUGGACUGACAGGCAGAACCCAAUAGUCAUAGAUACAAAUAUAGCAUUCAAAUAAUCAUAUUUCAUCGUUACAAGCAUGGACCCGAAAAUACGAUGCCAUGUCUUGUUUGUAAUUUUACUUCUUGGCCGUUGUUCCUUUGUGCAAAGGCUAGCGUUUUAUUAUUUGUUCAGUUUUA